AUGAACGCUGGCGGCGUGCCUCAUACAUUCAAGUCGCGCGAACAGACGAGUAUCUUUCUCCUCUUACGUUAUCGGCGGACUGUUGAGUAACACUUUGAUAACCUACCUAUAAUACUGUGAUAACUUCGGUAAACCGGAGCUAAUACCUGAUAAUAUAUUUAACCGCUUGUUUCUAUAGUUAAAUUCGGUUUUUCUUUCACUUAUUUAUUUAUCCGCGCCUCAUUAGCUAGUUGGUAAGGUAACGUCUUACCAAUGCAACGAUGCGUAGCCGACCUGAGAGGGUGAUCGGCCACACUGGAACUGAGACAGGGACCAGAAGACUACGGGAGGCAGCAGAAGGGAAUAGUCCGCAAGGGGGGAAAGCAUGACGGAGAAAGGCCGAGUGAGUGAUGAAGGACUUAGGAUCGUAAAACUCUGUUAUUAGGGAAGAAAAAAAGUGUAAGAAAAUAUGAACGUAAUGACGGUAACUAAUAAGAAAGCAACGGCUAACUACGUG
This 496-nucleotide ribosomal RNA is filed under the name uncultured bacterium. RNAcentral describes it as "partial 16S ribosomal RNA". It matches the Rfam family "Bacterial small subunit ribosomal RNA", at positions 29 to 507 of the family's 1533-position model. The record is from RNAcentral.